GAGGAGGACUCCAAAGCCUCUGAGAUUGGCAGCAUUGAAAAAUGGGAGAAAACAGUUCCUGAGUCCUUGCCUGGAAGAAAGCCAACUACUGACUGGGACCAUUCUCGCUGGAUUAUGAUGUUUGGCACAUGGGCAUCUAAGGAGAUGACAUGUACAAACAGGAGAUACAAAUAGGAGAUGACACUUUCACCUCAACCACUACAGCCCCAGAAGGAACCCAAGGUGGCCCCCUGGACCUUUUCCUGAAGCAACAUUGGGAGAAGCAAGCUGUCUUCAGAGAGAUAUAAGUAUAGCUUUUAUUUUUUUUUUUUUAAAACCAACCCAACAUUUCCACUGGCAACUGUCAACAUAGCUUAUGACAUGAACACGGUUUCUUUUCCAGUUAUUUGUUUUCUUAAAAAAUGUGUUUAAAAUUAAACAGGUGUUUUUCAUUUCUUCUUUUCCC
Cervus elaphus (red deer) is the source of this 445-nucleotide long non-coding RNA. RefSeq lists it as uncharacterized. The record is from RefSeq and is a predicted model, not a curated record. NCBI's taxonomy places the organism in Eukaryota, Metazoa, Chordata, Mammalia, Artiodactyla, Cervidae. The transcript has 2 exons.